Trichosurus vulpecula (common brushtail) is the source of this 338-nucleotide long non-coding RNA. RefSeq lists it as uncharacterized. The transcript is spliced from 2 exons. Lineage: Eukaryota; Metazoa; Chordata; Mammalia; Diprotodontia; Phalangeridae. The record is from RefSeq and is a predicted model, not a curated record.
GGGAAACUGAGGUCUUUGUGGAGAGAUAUCCCGGCCGGAACACGACCCAGAGAGACUAAAGCUUUGAGGGGGGGAAUCUUGGUGGACUGAAACCUUGUCUACCGUUAGCCUACGUCUGCCCCAGCCCUGCCACCGAAACAGGCUUCCUCUACCCUGAACACCCUACCUAGGACAGCUCAGACUGGAACCUCGCUGACGAAGAAGGGAAACAGUUUGUGGAGAGAGGAUGGAACGUGCUUAUGUAAAACACUCUCCUGUCUCGACACUCCCCAGUGCCGCAGAACCACAUUAAAAUUGGGAAAUAUUUAACAAAAUAAAUACCAAUACAAUAAAACAUA